Molecule: ribosomal RNA, 322 nt
Filed under: uncultured eukaryote
Lineage: Eukaryota
Description: partial 18S ribosomal RNA
Rfam family: Eukaryotic small subunit ribosomal RNA
Source: RNAcentral
CCCUUAGAUGUUCUGGGCCGCACGCGUGCUACACUGAGUGGAUCAGCGGGUCAGGUUGCGCGAAAGCGUUUCCUAAUCUUGAAAUCCGCUCGUGAUGGGGAUUGACGGUUGCAAUUUUCUGUCAUGAACGAGGAAUACCUUGUAAGCGCGGGUCAUCAUCCCGCGCUGAAUACGUCCCUGCCCUUUGUACACACCGCCCGUCGCUCCUACCGAUUGAGUGGUCCGGUGAGGCUUUGGGAUCUGAGCGGAAAGAGCGUUUCGCUCGUUCUGCCCGGAAAACUCAGUCGAACCUUAUCAUUUAGAGGAAGGAGAAGUCGUAACA